ACGGAAGGCAGCAGUGGGGAAUAUUGCACAAUGGGGGAAACCCUGAUGCAGCGACGCCGCGUGAGCGAAGAAGUAUUUCGGUAUGUAAAGCUCUAUCAGCAGGGAAGAUAAUGACGGUACCUGACUAAGAAGCCCCGGCUAACUACGUGCCAGCAGCCGCGGUAAUACGUAGGGGGCAAGCGUUAUCCGGAUUUACUGGGUGUAAAGGGAGCGUAGACGGUGUGGCAAGUCUGAUGUGAAAGGCAUGGGCUCAACCUGUGGACUGCAUUGGAAACUGUCAUACUUGAGUGCCGGAGGGGUAAGCGGAAUUCCUAGUGUAGCGGUGAAAUGCGUAGAUAUUAGGAGGAACACCAGUGGCGAAGGCGGCUUACUGGACGGUAACUGACGUUGAGGCUCGAAAGCGUGGGGAGCAAACAGGAUUAGAUACCCUGGUA
This 434-nucleotide ribosomal RNA is filed under the name uncultured Lachnospiraceae bacterium. RNAcentral describes it as "bacterial SSU rRNA". It matches the Rfam family "Bacterial small subunit ribosomal RNA", at positions 341 to 792 of the family's 1533-position model. Lineage: Bacteria; Bacillati; Bacillota; Clostridia; Lachnospirales; Lachnospiraceae. The record is from RNAcentral.